AAGAGAGGCUCGCAAGCUACGAAAACUGCUAACUUUCGCAACCCUGGUUGAACCCCUGGGCUCCCUUA
Molecule: transfer RNA, 68 nt
Filed under: Thaumatichthys pagidostomus
Lineage: Eukaryota; Metazoa; Chordata; Actinopteri; Lophiiformes; Thaumatichthyidae
Also listed under: 1 other name
Description: tRNA-Ser
Source: RNAcentral